AUCUAGCUGACGAGUCACAAAUGAAACGAAACGCGCGUCCUGGAU
RNAcentral lists this non-coding RNA (45 nucleotides) under Schistosoma mattheei. Lineage: Eukaryota; Metazoa; Platyhelminthes; Trematoda; Strigeidida; Schistosomatidae. The record is from RNAcentral.